CACGUAGGGCGCGAGCGUUGUCCGGAAUUAUUGGGCGUAAAGAGCUCGUAGGCGGCCUGUUGCGUCCGCUGUGAAAGCCCAGGGCUUAACCCCGGGUCGGCAGUGGAUACGGGCAGGCUAGAGGUAGGUAGGGGAGAAUGGAAUUCCCGGUGUAGCGGUGAAAUGCGCAGAUAUCGGGAGGAACACCGGUGGCGAAGGCGGUUCUCUGGGCCUUACCUGACGCUGAGGAGCGAAAGCGUGGGGAGCGAACAGG
This 253-nucleotide ribosomal RNA is filed under the name uncultured bacterium. Its description in RNAcentral is "partial 16S ribosomal RNA". It matches the Rfam family "Bacterial small subunit ribosomal RNA", at positions 524 to 776 of the family's 1533-position model. The record is from RNAcentral.